GGGCCACCAUGAUGGCCCACCCAGAGGUUGAGUGGGUUUGGUGGGUCGACUCGGAUGCGGUCUUCACUGACAUGGAGUUUAAGCUCCCACUGAACCGUUACAAGAACCAUAAUCUUGUGGUUCAUGGUUGGGAGGAGCUUAUACACCUUAAUCGUAGCUGGACUGGGCUAAACGCUGGCGUUUUUUUGAUGAGGAAUUGCCAGUGGUCAUUGGACUUUAUGGACGCGUGGACCAGCAUGGGCCCACAAUCACCAGAGUAUGAGAAAUGGGGUGAGGUCCAAAGAUCCACAUUCAAGGACAAGGUACGUAUACUACAAUAGAUCCUCUUAAUUUUAGUCUAAGCAUAUCACAUGUGACAGAAUUUGAUUUUAACGAUAAUUACCUAAUAUUAGAUAUUAAUAUGUGGCAUGUGAUCGCUGCUUUUUACAUUAUUAUUUUAAUUUUUUUAUAACAAACUCAUUAUAUGGUAUGUGCCAUGUUAAAUUCAGUAUGCAUUACAUAAACUAAUUGAAUUUUUUUUAUAUAAUUAUCAUUCAAACUAUUUCUCAUCCCAUCUUUUGGUAUUAAGUAUGCAUAUUUUUAGAAGUACCAUUCUCUAUAUUUUCCGCCCAUUCCAUAAAGUAAACACGACUACACUAAGUACUAGCUAUGAUUUCAACAAUUUCUCUUUUAUGUAUAAACCAUGUAUACCUUACUGAUGACAUAUCAUUAUCAUGCAUUGGAAAAAGUUGUUUGUUCAAGUCACAUUUGUCAUCCUAGAAAUGAAUUUUUGUAUCUAUAAUUAAUACUACUGUCAUAUAAAAAUGUACAUAAUUACAUUCAUUUUUUUGUUGCAAUAAUCUCAUUCUUAUUUUGAUUAUAAACUAAUAUUGUUAUGUCAUGUUCGGUAUAAUUUUUAAUUGACAUAUAAUGAAAUUUUUGAGAAGUCUUAAGAAUGAUUUAAAUAUAUGAUAGAUUAAUUUAUUUUAUUCUGUUUUUUCUCUUCAACUCUUCACCUGGUCUAACACAUGCUGAAAAAUAAGAUUGAUAUUGUUUAUUAUAUUAUUUUAUACAUGAUUUAAACACAUGUUGAAUUAUUUCUCUGAUUAUUAAUUGAUUUUGAGAUUUAACCUUAACCCAAAUUAGAACCAAAAUGAAUUUUUUCUUUAUGGAAAACUAAUAUAAUCUAAACCUCCAUAAGGUGAUGCCAGAGUCAGAUGACCAAACAGCCCUUGCUUACCUGAUAGCAGUAGAGAAGGACAAGUGGACAAACAAGAUAUACUUAGAGGACAACUACUACUUCGAAGGUUAUUGGUUAGAGAUUGAAAAAACAUACAACAACAUAAGCAAGAAAUACAAUGAGUUAGAGAGACAAGUGAAAGGGUUAAGGAGAAGACAUGCAGAAAAGGUAAGUGAAACUUAUGGUGCAAUGAGAGAAGGGUACCUUAAUAAUAUAGGGCAGUGGAGGAGGCCAUUUAUCACUCACUUCACUGGGUGUCAACCAUGUAAUGGGCACCAUAAUCCUAAUUAUGCUGCUGAAGAUUGUUGGAAUGGCAUGGAGAGGGCUCUUAACUUUGCUGAUAAUCAAGUGUUGAGAAAAUAUGGUUUUGUGCAUAACAGUCUCAUGGAUAAGGCUGUUUCACCUAUACCUUUUGAUUAUCCUGCUGUGUGAUACAAUAAGAUAAAUCCAUAUUUAUUCCUGUGUAUCUUAUUGUUAAGGUUAUUUUUUAGUUUUGUUUGAAAAGGUUAUUAUUAAUAAAAUAAUUAAGAGUAAAGUAAAAAUUUAUUGCCUGUCCCAAUUUGGUCCUAAAAAACUGAAAAACCCAAAGUAAAUAAGUAAUCCCAAAAAUAUCAAAUGCGAGUCAAAUUAAUCAUUUUAAACAUGUUUUAUGACAUUUGUUAUUAUAAGCAAAUGCAUUAAAAAUGGGCACAAGGGUACUAAUAUCAAAUGCCAUGAUGAUUAAGCAAAUAUAAGUCAAAAUAGUCUAUAUCAUAUGUCAUAAAUUGAGUAUUAUAUCAUCAUUCACAUAAUUGAGUACUAGUUUUUUAUUUUUUGGACAUCAAAUCAGUAUACACUAAAAUUUCUAAGGAUUAAAGUGUGUAUUCACUCAAUAAUUAAAAACACAAUAAUUUAGUUGGCUGCAUUUAAUGAUCAAGCCAAAUUUAAGGUCCAAGUCUUUAAUGGAACAUUUAAAAUAUAAAUAAUAAAAAAAUUACCAGUAGCUAUAAUAAAAUAAAAAAAUAUAACUAUACUGAAUUAUUUAUUUAUGAAAUAAAAAUAUAGUUUUUUUAAAUGUGUAAAAGUUGAUAGUAAUAUUUGAAUGAUUCAUAGGGUUCUGUUAUGAAACCCAUAAGAAGAUAAGACAAUCCGCACCUCUACACAAUUGAACAAGUUACACUACCAUACGCUACCCAAUACAAAAAAACAAAUGAACGCAUUCUUAAAAAUGGCAUCAUCACAAGAAGAACACACACAGCAUCACAAUAAGAACUCUCACACCAUCACAAGAAGAACACACACAUGGCUUCAAAGUUCAAUUCUAGAAGCAAACCCUCACCAUUGCUCUCAAAUGGUUGCAUCUUCCUUGGAGGAGCAUUAUCAACACUUCUCCUAGUUUGGGGUUUAUGCUCCUUCAUCAUUCCAAUUCCAAACUCCGACCCCAAACUCGACUUAGUAGCUACAAAACUAAAAUCACUAAAUUGCACCACUGACACCAUCACCAUUGUGGCACCCGAUACGUUGCAUGAUGCACUUGAAAGAACCUUUUAUGAUGAUCCUGAAAUGGCUUACACCAUGGACAAUCCAAUGAAAAAUUGGGAUGAGAAGCGUUUGGAGUGGCUACAACAUCAUCCAUCAUUCUUAGCAGGAGCACGAGAAAGGGUGCUUCUCGUGACAGGGUCACAACCCUCACGGUGCCGCAACCCUAUUGGGGAUCAUCUUCUCUUAAGAUUUUUUAAGAAUAAAGUUGAUUAUUGUCGAUUACAUAACUAUGAUAUAUUCUAUAACAAUGUGUUGAUCCAUCCAAAGAUGAACAUUUAUUGGGCCAAGUAUCCGAUGGUUCGGGCCACCAUGAUGGCCCACCCAGAGGUUGAGUGGGUUUGGUGGGUCGACUCGGAUGCGGUCUUCACUGACAUGGAGUUUAAGCUCCCACUGAACCGUUACAAGAACCAUAAUCUUGUGGUUCAUGGUUGGGAGGAGCUUAUACACCUUAAUCGUAGCUGGACUGGGCUAAACGCUGGCGUUUUUUUGAUGAGGAAUUGCCAGUGGUCAUUGGACUUUAUGGACGCGUGGACCAGCAUGGGCCCACAAUCACCAGAGUAUGAGAAAUGGGG
Molecule: long non-coding RNA, 3312 nt
Filed under: Lupinus angustifolius (narrow-leaved blue lupine)
Lineage: Eukaryota; Viridiplantae; Streptophyta; Magnoliopsida; Fabales; Fabaceae
Description: long non-coding RNA (LANG_LNC002652)
Source: RNAcentral